Molecule: small RNA, 292 nt
Filed under: Arabidopsis thaliana (thale cress)
Lineage: Eukaryota; Viridiplantae; Streptophyta; Magnoliopsida; Brassicales; Brassicaceae
Description: ATSL216140
Source: RNAcentral
AUUUAUUUAAAAGAGAGAUUAUAGAGAAUUUAACACAACAAAAGACUUUUGAUUCUUCCUCAAUUAAUUGUAUUAUUUUUUUAUUUAAUUAAUAUAGAAUGACACAUGUCAUUUUCUUGUGUGAUGAUGUGUCAUUCAUAGGGAGAGAGUUGGCAACUUUCAUAUAUAUGAUUUAUUUUUUAACGUUUAAAUUUAUUAUUUAUUGUAAAUUAUGAGAAUUAUUACAAAUAUAAUUAUACCACGGAUAAUUUCUUUCGAUCUUGUUAGAUCUACGACCUACGAUACUUCCUUC